RNAcentral lists this ribosomal RNA (433 nucleotides) under uncultured bacterium. RNAcentral describes it as "partial 16S ribosomal RNA". It matches the Rfam family "Bacterial small subunit ribosomal RNA", at positions 29 to 507 of the family's 1533-position model. The record is from RNAcentral.
AGCGAACGCUGGCGGCAGGCCUAACACAUGCAAGUCGAACGAACUCUUCGGAGUUAGUGGCGGACGGGUGAGUAACACGUGGGAACGUGCCUUUUGGUUCGGAAUAACUCAGGGAAACUUGUGCUAAUACCGAAUGUGCCCUUCGGGGGAAAGAUUUAUCGCCAUUAGAGCGGCCCGCGUCUGCUUAGCUGGUUGGUGAGGUAACGGCUCACCAAGGCGACGAUCAGUAGCUGGUCGGGGAGGAUGACCAGCCACACUGGGACUGAGACACGGCCCAGACUCCUACGGGAGGCAGCAGUGGGGAAUCUUGCGCAAUGGGCGAAAGCCUGACGCAGCCAUGCCGCGUGAAUGAUGAAGGUCUUAGGAUUGUAAAAUUCUUUCACCGGGGACGAUAAUGACGGUACCCGGAGAAGAAGCCCCGGCUAACUUCGUG